RNAcentral lists this ribosomal RNA (497 nucleotides) under uncultured bacterium. Its description in RNAcentral is "partial 16S ribosomal RNA". It matches the Rfam family "Bacterial small subunit ribosomal RNA", at positions 28 to 507 of the family's 1533-position model. The record is from RNAcentral.
GAUGAACGCUGGCGGCGUGCCUAAUACAUGCCAGUCGAGCGAACGGACGAGAAGCUUGCUUUUCUGAUGUUAGCGGCGGACGGGUGAGUAACACGUGGAUAACCUACCUAUAAGACUGGGAUAACUUCGGGAAACCGGAGCUAAUACCGGAUAAUAUUUUGAACCGCAUGGUUCAAAAGUGAAAGACGGUCUUGCUGUCACUUAUAGAUGGAUCCGCGCUGCAUUGGCUAGUUGGUAAGGUAACGGCUUACCAAGGCAACGAUGCAUAGCCGACCUGAGAGGGUGAUCGGCCACACUGGAACUGAGACACGGUCCAGACUCCUACGGGAGGCAGCAGUAGGGAAUCUUCCGCAAUGGGCGAAAGCCUGACGGAGCAACGCCGCGUGAGUGAUGAAGGUCUUCGGAUCGUAAAACUCUGUUAUCAGGGAAGAACAUAUGUGUAAGUAACUGUGCACAUCUUGACGGUACCUAAUCAGAAAGCCACGGCUAACUACGUG